Molecule: ribosomal RNA, 720 nt
Filed under: Enterococcus sp.
Lineage: Bacteria; Bacillati; Bacillota; Bacilli; Lactobacillales; Enterococcaceae
Description: bacterial SSU rRNA
Rfam family: Bacterial small subunit ribosomal RNA
Source: RNAcentral
CCAGACUCCUACGGGAGGCAGCAGUAGGGAAUCUUCGGCAAUGGACGAAAGUCUGACCGAGCAACGCCGCGUGAGUGAAGAAGGUUUUCGGAUCGUAAAACUCUGUUGUUAGAGAAGAACAAGGAUGAGAGUAGAACGUUCAUCCCUUGACGGUAUCUAACCAGAAAGCCACGGCUAACUACGUGCCAGCAGCCGCGGUAAUACGUAGGUGGCAAGCGUUGUCCGGAUUUAUUGGGCGUAAAGCGAGCGCAGGCGGUUUCUUAAGUCUGAUGUGAAAGCCCCCGGCUCAACCGGGGAGGGUCAUUGGAAACUGGGAGACUUGAGUGCAGAAGAGGAGAGUGGAAUUCCAUGUGUAGCGGUGAAAUGCGUAGAUAUAUGGAGGAACACCAGUGGCGAAGGCGGCUCUCUGGUCUGUAACUGACGCUGAGGCUCGAAAGCGUGGGGAGCGAACAGGAUUAGAUACCCUGGUAGUCCACGCCGUAAACGAUGAGUGCUAAGUGUUGGAGGGUUUCCGCCCUUCAGUGCUGCAGCAAACGCAUUAAGCACUCCGCCUGGGGAGUACGACCGCAAGGUUGAAACUCAAAGGAAUUGACGGGGGCCCGCACAAGCGGUGGAGCAUGUGGUUUAAUUCGAAGCAACGCGAAGAACCUUACCAGGUCUUGACAUCCUUUGACCACUCUAGAGAUAGAGCUUCCCCUUCGGGGGCAAAGUGACAGGUGG